CACCCAAACAAACACUCCAUUUUCUGCUAGUUUGGCCAAGAGAGAGAAGAGAGAAGAGAGGAAAACUUCUUCAAAUUUCAUCUUGAUUCCUAGCAAGAUUUUGUGGAAGAAUUAACCUAAAACCUUAAAGCAAUCCGUAGGAGGCUGCAACAAGGAAGGAAGGUAGCUGCUAUGGAGUGAUUUUGGGGAAAGAAAACCUGUAGUUUGCUAUUCACCUUAAGGUUUGAAGGUACUCUUGGGGUAAGAACAUGAGAGUGGGAAUUGGAGAAAACAUAGAUUUUAUCUAACUUUUAUUAGUUGCUCGCGUAGGCAUUCCUUAGCGCUCUAGUGGGCAUGUUUGGUUUUAUUUUGUAAGUUUUACUCCUCGGUUAUAUUUAGAGAUUGUAUGGGCAUUUGAUGUUCACGAUUAUAUAUGGCUAGGGUUGUAAUGGAUAUUACUCUUAUUGUUGAGAUUGUUACUUUGUAAA
This is a long non-coding RNA of Coffea eugenioides, 467 nucleotides long. RefSeq lists it as uncharacterized. The transcript is spliced from 2 exons. Lineage: Eukaryota; Viridiplantae; Streptophyta; Magnoliopsida; Gentianales; Rubiaceae. The record is from RefSeq and is a predicted model, not a curated record.